GCACCUAUAGCUUAAGAGGAUAGAGCAUUAGACUCCGGAUCUAAAGAUACAGGUUCGACUCCUGUUAGGUGUGCCA
RNAcentral lists this transfer RNA (76 nucleotides) under Clostridium sp. Its description in RNAcentral is "tRNA-Arg". It matches the Rfam family "tRNA". Rfam says of the family: Transfer RNA (tRNA) molecules are approximately 80 nucleotides in length. Their secondary structure includes four short double-helical elements and three loops (D, anti-codon, and T loops). Lineage: Bacteria; Bacillati; Bacillota; Clostridia; Eubacteriales; Clostridiaceae. RNAcentral also lists the same sequence under 2 other names. The record is from RNAcentral.